UACGGGGGGCGCAAGCGUUGUUCGGAUUUACUGGGCGUAAAGGGCGCGUAGGCGGCCACUGCAAGUCAGUUGUGAAAUCUCCGGGCUUAACCCGGAAAGGUCAACUGAUACUGCAGGGCUAGAGUGCAGAAGGGGCAACUGGAAUUCUCGGUGUAGCGGUGAAAUGCGUAGAUAUCGAGAGGAACACCUGCGGCGAAGGCGGGUUGCUGGGCUGACACUGACGCUGAGGCGCGAAAGCCAGGGGAGCGAACGGG
Molecule: ribosomal RNA, 254 nt
Filed under: uncultured bacterium
Lineage: Bacteria
Description: partial 16S ribosomal RNA
Rfam family: Bacterial small subunit ribosomal RNA
Source: RNAcentral